CAAAAAGUAGUUUAUCAGAAUGCUAGCUUUGGGA
This 34-nucleotide transfer RNA is filed under the name Sphoeroides pachygaster (blunthead puffer). RNAcentral's name for it is "partial tRNA-Pro". The record is from RNAcentral. Lineage: Eukaryota; Metazoa; Chordata; Actinopteri; Tetraodontiformes; Tetraodontidae.